Molecule: ribosomal RNA, 439 nt
Filed under: uncultured bacterium
Lineage: Bacteria
Description: bacterial SSU rRNA
Rfam family: Bacterial small subunit ribosomal RNA
Source: RNAcentral
GCUUAACGCGAAGAACCUUACCAAGGCUUGACAUAUACGAGAACGGGCCAGAAAUGGUCAACUCUUUGGACACUCGUAAACAGGUGGUGCAUGGUUGUCGUCAGCUCAUGUCGUGAGAUGUUGGGUUAAGUCCCGCAACGAGCGCAACCCUCGUUCUAUGUUGCCAGCACGUAAUGGUGGGAACUCAUGGGAUACUGCCGGGGUCAACUCGGAGGAAGGUGGGGAUGACGUCAAAUCAUCAUGCCCCUUAUGUCUUGGGCUUCACGCAUGCUACAAUGGCCGGUACAAAGGGCUGCAAUACCGUAAGGUGGAGCGAAUCCCAAAAAGCCGGUCCCAGUUCGGAUUGAGGUCUGCAACUCGACCUCAUGAAGUCGGAGUCGCUAGUAAUCGCAGAUCAGCAACGCUGCGGUGAAUACGUUCCCGGGUCUUGUACACACCG